GUAGUUUGAUCAUGGCUCAGAACGAACGCUGGCGGCGUGGAUAAGACAUGCAAGUCGAACGGGAGAAUUGCUAGCUUGCUAAUAAUUCUCUAGUGGCGCACGGGUGAGUAACACGUGAGUAACCUGCCCCCGAGAGCGGGAUAGCCCUGGGAAACUGGGAUUAAUACCGCAUAGUAUCGAAAGAUUAAAGCAGCAAUGCGCUUGGGGAUGGGCUCGCGGCCUAUUAGUUAGUUGGUGAGGUAACGGCUCACCAAGGCGAUGACGGGUAGCCGGUCUGAGAGGAUGUCCGGCCACACUGGAACUGAGACACGGUCCAGACACCUACGGGUGGCAGCAGUCGAGAAUCAUUCACAAUGGGGGAAACCCUGAUGGUGCGACGCCGCGUGGGGGAAUGAAGGUCUUCGGAUUGUAAACCCCUGUCAUGUGGGAGCAAAUUAAAAAGAUAGUACCACAAGAGGAAGAGACGGCUAACUCUGUGCCAGCAGCAGCCGCUGUAAC
RNAcentral lists this ribosomal RNA (498 nucleotides) under uncultured microorganism. RNAcentral describes it as "bacterial SSU rRNA". It matches the Rfam family "Bacterial small subunit ribosomal RNA", at positions 9 to 524 of the family's 1533-position model. The record is from RNAcentral.